GACGAACGCUGGCGGCGUGCCUAAUACAUGCAAGUCGAGCGCAGGAAGCUGACGGAACUCUUCGGAGGGAAGGCAGUGGAAUGAGCGGCGGACGGGUGAGUAACACGUAAGGAACCUGCCUCAAGGAUUGGGAUAACUCCGAGAAAUCGGAGCUAAUACCGGAUAGUUCAACGGACCGCAUGGGCCGCUGAUGAAAGGCGCUUCGGCGUCACCUUGAGAUGGCCUAGCGGGGCAUUAGCUAGUUGGUGAGGUAACGGCCCACCAAGGCGACGAUGCAUAGCCGACCGGAGAGGGUGAUCGGCCACACUGGGACUGAGACACGGCCCAGACUCCUACGGGAGGCAGCAGUAGGGAAUCUUCCACAAUGGACGAAAGUCUGAUGGAGCAACGCCGCGUGAGUGAUGAAGGUUUUCGGAUCGUAAAACUCUGUUGUAAGGGAAGAACACGUACGAGAGGAAAUGCUCGUACCUUGACGGUACCUUACGAGAAAGCCACGGCUAACUACGUGCCAGCAGCCGCCGUAA
RNAcentral lists this ribosomal RNA (524 nucleotides) under uncultured bacterium. RNAcentral's name for it is "partial 16S ribosomal RNA". It matches the Rfam family "Bacterial small subunit ribosomal RNA", at positions 28 to 523 of the family's 1533-position model. The record is from RNAcentral.